This 664-nucleotide ribosomal RNA is filed under the name uncultured bacterium. RNAcentral's name for it is "bacterial SSU rRNA". It matches the Rfam family "Bacterial small subunit ribosomal RNA", at positions 114 to 795 of the family's 1533-position model. The record is from RNAcentral.
CGCGUGAGGACCUGCCCUUAGACCGGAUAACCAUGGAAACCGUGCUAAUGCCGGAUUUCUCACCGCUCCGCAUGUGCAGUGAGGAAAUGGUCAGCCGCUACAGGAUGGCCUCGCGGCCUAUCAGCUAGUUGGUGGGGUAACGGCCUACCAAGGCGACGACGGGUAGCUGGCGUGAGAGCGCGAACAGCCACACUGGGACUGAGACACGGCCCAGACUCCUACGGGAGGCAGCAGUGGGGAAUCUUGCGCAAUGGGCGAAAGCCUGACGCAGCGACGCCGCGUGCGGGAAGAAGGCCUUCGGGUUGUAAACCGCUUUCAGGAGGGAAGAAGCGAAAGUGACGGUACCUCCAGAAGAAGGACCGGCCAACUACGUGCCAGCAGCCGCGGUAAUACGUAGGGUCCAAGCGUUGUCCGGAAUUAUUGGGCGUAAAGAGCUCGUAGGCGGUCCGUUAAGUCGAAUGUGAAAUCUCAGGGCUCAACCCUGAAAUCGCAUUCGAUACUGGCGGACUUGAGGCAGGUAGGGGAAGGUGGAAUUACCUGGUGUAGCUGGUGAAAUGCGCAUAUAUCAGGAGGAACACAGGUGGAGAAGGCGUCAUUCCGCGCCUGUACCGCCGCUGAGGAGUGAAAGAAUGGGGAACAAUGGGAUUAGAUACCCCCAGUAGUC